This is a long non-coding RNA of Oryzias melastigma (Indian medaka), 431 nucleotides long. RefSeq lists it as uncharacterized. The transcript has 3 exons. The record is from RefSeq and is a predicted model, not a curated record. Lineage: Eukaryota; Metazoa; Chordata; Actinopteri; Beloniformes; Adrianichthyidae.
UACUCGAGCUAACGCAGGGAAGCACUCCAACAUUCACAAUCUGCCGAGAGCUGUUGGAAGACGGAAUUCUGGAGCGGAGGAAAAACAUGCAACGGUGUCUGCAUUAUUUCGGCCUUGGUCAUGAUCGUUGGGGCAACGAUACAAAAGGUGGGGCUGGGCAGGUAGAAGGCCACUUAAUUAUUUUCACCUGUGUUCACCAGCUGCUUGAUUGGCAGAGGGCUGUUAAAAGCUCUUCCCUCCCAGCAGUUUGCAGAUUCAGCCUUAGACCUGUUGCAGGUAGGAGCUGCAGCAUCAGAUGCUGCCAGGCUGUAUUCUGGCUUAAAAUCCGUAGCUGGAUCACAGGCAGUUUGCCUUUUGUGGCCAGUGUAGCUCCUGUUAGCAUCCUCCUCGGCUGCCAGCCAGGUGCCGCUGCUGGGUGCAUCGCUGCUGGG